UUGGAGGGCAAGUCUGGUGCCAGCAGCCGCGGUAAUUCCAGCUCCAAUAGCGUAUAUUAAAGUUGUUGCAGUUAAAAAGCUCGUAGUUGAAUUUCGGGGUCAGUAGGUUGGUCAUGCCACUGGUAUGUACUGGUCUCACUGAUUCCUCCUUCCUGAUGAGCUGUAAUGCCAUUAAUUUGGUGUUGCGGGGAAUCUGGACUGUUACUUAGAAAAAUUAGAGUGUUUAAAGCAGGCUUUAGCUUGAAUACAUUAGCAUGGAAUAAUGAAAUAGGACGUUCGAACCUAUUUUGUUGGUUUCUAGGAUCAACGUAAUGAUUAAUAGGGAUAGUUGGGGGCAUUACUAUUCAAUUGUCAGAGGUGAAAUUCUUGGAUUUAUUGAAGACUAACUACUGCGAAAGCAUUUGCCAAGGAUGUUUUCAUUAAUCAAGAACGAAAGUUAGGGGAUCGAAGACGAUCAGAUACCGUCGUAGUCUUAACCAUAAACUAUGCCGACUAGGGGAUCGGAUGAUGUUAAUUUUUAAUGACUCA
This 528-nucleotide ribosomal RNA is filed under the name uncultured Glomeromycotina. Its description in RNAcentral is "SSU rRNA". It matches the Rfam family "Eukaryotic small subunit ribosomal RNA", at positions 548 to 1078 of the family's 1831-position model. Lineage: Eukaryota; Fungi; Glomeromycota. The record is from RNAcentral.